Molecule: transfer RNA, 60 nt
Filed under: Dipodomys ordii (Ord's kangaroo rat)
Lineage: Eukaryota; Metazoa; Chordata; Mammalia; Rodentia; Heteromyidae
Rfam family: tRNA
About the family: Transfer RNA (tRNA) molecules are approximately 80 nucleotides in length.
Source: Rfam by way of RNAcentral
GUAGCUCAGAGGUAGAGUGCAUGCUUUGCAAGCAUGAGGCCCUGGGUUCGAUUCCGCAGC